Molecule: long non-coding RNA, 6502 nt
Organism: Dermacentor andersoni
Lineage: Eukaryota; Metazoa; Arthropoda; Arachnida; Ixodida; Ixodidae
Source: RefSeq, a predicted model, not a curated record
GCAAGCUUUUUCAUUGCCCAUUCUCGUUAGAGAUCAUUCAUCCUCAUCCAAACAUAAAGGUCAACCGAUUCUUCGCUGAUACUUAAUACCAGUCACUGUCUAGUAGCAUAACAUAUCUGUAGCAGUACCUUUUAGUGCAUGUUGUCAUGCACAAUUCCUCUCCUGAAAUAGCUGAUGCAACAUCGACAUGUUUCUUGCAUUAACCUACGCACUGUUUGCUAUGCACCAUUUUACUUUUCUUGAUGUUUUUGGCCUUCAAUGCUUGCAGAGCAGGGUGGCUUCUCUCUUGAAUGCAAGCUUUCUCAUUUUCCAUAUUCCUAGUCUCGUUGAUGGUUGCUCUUCUUCCUCGAUAGCCUGGGUCUUUGCGCAAGCUACACUGAAUGAUAGAUUGCAGAAUCUGGUUUUGCUGCCCCACUUGGUUGUGGUCGCCGUGUUACAUUUCUCGGAUGUGGGGGCCUGCUCAGUUACAUUGGUAAGCAGUCUCUCGAGGUAAGCAUUUGCUCCUGCAGUCCGCACAGCGACAUAGACUCCCAAUUUACACACCAUGAUUCGUGCUCCCCGUUCAGCCUUUCCUGCUGCAGCCAUGUGCAAAUUGUGCCUGCGGCCUUUCUCACUCGCAAUUAAGCGCGAACGGAGACAAGCAUACGUGCUUACAUGGUCCAACGUGUUUGAAGUUCAUAGCCGCAUGGGUGGAAAGGCCCGCAUAAAUGGCUGCCGAAGGUGAUGCCCACGAAAGCGACUUGUCCAUAUUGAGACAAAGUGGGACACCAAAUGUGAGCCACACAUUAGUGGCCCUCGACAGAAAAGAAACAUGCAGGUUGGAAAGGAGUUAACGCUAAAAUGCCGGAUAGUCCAUUUCGCUGUGUUGGUUGUGGCAGCAGAUGCCUGCAUCACUUGAUUGCUUCGCAAUGGAAGUUGCUCAUCUUCAACGGCAACUGUCGGUUCAAACAGGUGCGACGCUCUGUCCAAUCUGUUUGUACUGCUGUUCGUCGUUCGUUACCAGACCACCACAUGCGACGAAGGCAAGCAUUAUGCCUGUAAGUAGGCAGCUGAAUGUAUCCUAAGAGACCCGUGUAUGUGAAUGCUCACUGUUGCCGUAUGGUUUGUAGCCAAUGUAUAACGUAUUCUCUGAACACUAUGUGGUGAAUGAUUGCCGUUUAUUUUUGCUGUUAUCUCACUUGGUUACGGUCGCCAUGUUAUGCUUAUCGGAUGUAGCGGCCUGGUCAGUUGCACUGGAAAGCAGUUUCUCGAAGUAAGCAUUUGCUCCUGCAAUCUGCACAGCGACAUAGACUCCCAAUUUACACACCGUGAUUCGUGCUCCCCGUUCAGCCUUUCCUGCUGCAGCCAUGUGCAAAUUGUGCCUGCGGCCUUUCUCAGUCGCAAUUAAGCACGAAUGGAGACAAGCAUACGUGCUUACAUGGUCCAACGUGUUUGAAGUUCAUAGCCGCAUGGGUAGAAAGGCCCGCAUAAAUGGCUGCCGAAGGUGAUGCCCACGAAAGCGACUUGUCCAUAUUGAGACAAAGUGGGACACCAAAUGUGAGCCACACAUUAGUGGCCCUCGACAGAAAAGAAAGAUGCAGGUUGGAAAGGAGUUAACGCUAAAAUGCCGGAUAGUCCAUUUCGCUGUGUUGGUUGUGGCAGCAGAUGCCUGCAUCACCUGAUUGCUUCGCAAUGGAAGUUGCUCAUCUUCAACGGCAACUGUCGGUUCAAACAGGUGCGACGCUCUGUCCAAUCUGUUUGUACUGCUGUUCGUCGUUCGUUACCAGACCACCACAUGCGACGAAGGCAAGCAUUAUGCCUGUAAGUAGGCAGCUGAAUGUAUCCUAAGAGACCCGUGUAUGUGAAUGCUCACUGUUGCCGUAUGGUUUGUAGCCAAUGUAUAACGUAUUCUCUGAACACUAUGUGGUGAAUGAUUGCCGUUUAUUUUUGCUGUUAUCUCAUUUGGUUACGGUCGCCAUGUUAUGCUUAUCGGAUGUAGCGGCCUGGUCAGUUGCACUGGAAAGCAGUUUCUCGAAGUAAGCAUUUGCUCCUGCAAUCUGCACAGCGACAUAGACUCCCAAUUUACACACCGUGAUUCGUGCUCCCCGUUCACGUUCAGCCUUUCCUGCUGCAGCCAUGGUCAAAUUGUGCCUGUUGCCUUUCUCGGCCGCGAUUAAGCACGAACGGAGACCGGCAUACGUGCUUACAUGGUCCGACGUGUGUGAAGUUGGGUGCAAAGGCCCGCAAAAGUGGCUGAUGAAGGUGAUGCCCACGAAAGCGACUUGUCCAUAUUGAGACAAUGUGGGACACCAAGUGCGAGCCACACAUUAGCGGCCCCCGAAAGAAAAGUAACGUGCAGGUUGGAAAGGAGUUAAGGCUAAAAUGCCGGUUAGUCCAUGUCGCUGUGUUGGCUGUGGCAGCAGAUGCCUGGUUCACCCGAUUGUUUCGCAGUGUUAGUUGCUCAUCUUUAACGGCGACUGCCGCUGCAAACAGGCGGGACACUGACCAAUCUGCAUGAGCCGCUGGUUUUCGCUCGUUACUAGACCGCCAUGUGUGGCGACGACGGUGAGCCGUUUACGAGCUCGCGUCAAAGAUUCCAGUGUAUCUCGACAUACAAAUUUUAUUUCUGCUAUUGCACGAGAAUGUACAUACAUACACUGCUUGUCUUCUGCCAAUAAAGUCGCACGUUCUGUUCACUCACUUGUGGCUUGUUUGUAUGGGCGUCAGUAGAGGCUCUUUGCUCUCCUGGCAAUUAGAACGCACCGGCUACGCGGCAGCCGAGGCGAGUACGGCGCGUACGAGCGGAUACAAGCGUACACGACCGGCAAAAAGCGGCCAUAUUGAAUGAUGCUCUAAAAAAAAAAAAUGCGCAGUUCCGCUUCCUGUUUUAGCAGCGUCAUCUGGCGUCCACCUAGGUAAGUUCCAUGCGCUGCCGCUGCUUAUUUUCGAACCACUGCGGAAGGUACAGUUUCCCUUCUCUAAAGUUGUUCUUUAUUCUAUGGGCCAGCCAAGGCAGAUCGUAUAUCAGCCAUCUCGCGUCGCCACGAAAACACGACAGUCGUUCGUCAUGCCUUGGAUAUAACAGCAAAUCCUCCACGGCACCCGCUUUAUAUAACGCAAGAAGGCAGCUGCAAGGACACGAGGAUGUGAAAGAGCCAGUGCAGCGCGACUUCACGUAGUGCAGAGGAGCCAAUGCCAAAAAAUCAAAAUACAUUGGCAUGUUAUUUGGACAAGAACACUAGUAUGUGGGUAUAUUGGGUGUACCAUUUGACCAAAUGUCAACAAAAUCAAGAUACAGUAUGUUACACAAAGAUGAAAAUUCUCACGUGCUCCAGGCAGUCAUCUUAACAUGGUAUAUUUAUGUAAUGUCUCUGAUUGGAAAGUCAAAUCAAGUAUGCUCUCUGGAGACAAACACAUAGCAGCAAGUGUCAUUGAAAAGUUAAAAAUGCGUUUUAAGAAAGCUGAUUAGUUCUGAGAAGUGACUGCUUUUUGUCUUGCCUCUCAACACAUAUAUCCAUGUGAUAAAAAAAUAGUGGUACAAUGAAAUUGCAUAUUUGCUUAGCGACAUGAUACAUACUUGCAAUGAGCACGGUGCCUGUGUUUACUACAAAAAGCAACAGCCCAUGCUUGGUUAGGUUAGGCCCACUACAACAUGCAGGCAUGGGUGAUUGGCGCUUUUUUUAUUUCUGUGUCGUGAGGUUUAUUGACGUGCGUAUAGGUGCAGUGGCACGCAGUAUGGCUAGUACAAAAGAAAGGGGGGGGGGGCAGAUAUAUGUAGCUCACUGUACACGACACAGGGCAAAGGAAGUCCGUGCUCAGCAACUAAGUUAAAUGCCAUGUACAUAAAUUUUACAACGCUACUCGUUCGAAGCGCGCACAGGUGCAUAUUGAAGAAAAGUUUCCAGGGUAGAUAAUUUAGUUCGUAAUUUACACUAAUUUUGCUCUAACCACGAGACAUAAUAAUUUGAAUAUACUGCACGGAAAAACCUAGAGCGAAUUAAAUUGUGUGUCAGCUUCGUGUGUAUACAUAUAGUCUUUCCUAUGCAUUAGGUUUUUGCGUAAUGCAUUAACAGUUGACAGCCUAUCUUAUGAUGUGUACUCUGUUUACAUUACAGUUGUUUAUUAGUUUAGUCGUUUGUUUUGCGCCUGAUGAAAUGCCGGCAUAUAUAUAUUUUCAACAUUUGACAUAACCCUGUAUGUUUUGCAGGGACAACCCAGGACGUGCAUUUCUCAGCACCCAGUCAACUGCCAAAAGUGACUCAAACACAGGCCACCAGUGGAACUCGGCUGUACCACUGCAGUGCUGCGGAAAUUGCCUUCACCAGCGGCUUUGCAACAGCUGUUUCGCAGCAUGUCGGAGACAAUGCCUACGAAAUUAUUGGCCCUGAUCAUGAGAGCCCUCAAGGGGCAAACAACAUCUCUGUUGCAGAAGUGAGCCCGAUACCACUUGGAAGUUACCAUGACAGAUGACACGGCAGCAAUAGAUACAGAGACUGCCAUGUCUACUGCAGCUGCAACAGUGUACGAGGCAAGCAGCAGCGCGUCAGCAUCAGCAGCAGUGUCAGAAGGAACCACACCAGGCCUGGUAGAGCAACAUGUGUGCUAUCACUGACUUUUUUUGUAGUGGAUACAACUCAUUUGCUCAACAUACAAAAGCUUUUCACCACGACUGUGAGCCAGUGUUAUUGUGCAGCAAGUGCAAGACUAAGUUAGGUGUUAUAACACAGUACAAGCAUCACUUUAAUAUAUGCAAAUGCAAACAUAUUACAGUUGUUGCCUCCCCAGCCAGCCCACAUAGUGACAACAAUGUGGAACACAUGGUGGGACACACCUCUCCCCCAUUACAAGAUAGUAGAGACUGUCAGUGUUGUUGCUAGAUUGACUGGUCUUUGUAGGCAACUAGAAGGACAACACAGGUGUCAUAAGAUUGUUGUGGAUGUUGUUGUUGAAGAGGUAAAAAAGAAGUUUGAUGCAGCUGAAGUGCCAACUGAUAUUGAGCAAAUCAAAAGCAACCACCUGAGAAAGCAACACUAUCGAAAUUUGGGUAUCUAUGUGCCGCCAACUCUGGUAAGAAUGGCAUAGGACAGAAGUGUGAUGAAAAUCACACAGACACUGCUGUUGCAUCACUGGCCACAGUGAGCAGCGACUUGUAGGGCAAGAGAGUCAACUGAAACUAACAUUAUGAUACAGUGUCAUGCUCCCAUGUGACCACUUUUCAAGUUAUUUUGCAAGAUACAGCUCAACCUCCAGAAACGAGAUUGCAACUUGUCUGUAAAAAAGCUUUCACAAAAAAUUAUUCAUAACACUAUUAACAUAGCAGUAUCUUUUUUUUUUGUGUCGGUUCAAGGUUCCCGGCUGUUCAUUAAUGCAAAAAUUGAGGAAAAAAAGAACAUGUGUCGUACUUACACCUUUUUAACAAGUACGAGGGGGACAGAACUUUUCUAGUCAUGCAUCUUCAUCAUACUAUCAAGUUUUUAAAUGCCUUUUAUAAUUAUUAUCACCAGUUAUAUCUGAGUGCAUUGUAUGCAUGUAGCAGGUGUAAAAUCAGGUCAGUUGGAUCAGAUGCCUUAUCUGCAAGCGAGCCCUAUAUUCAAGAAAUUUGAAUUAAAAUAGUUACGUUAGAGACGCAGUCUUUCAGCACUUUAUUGCCUGUGGUUUAAGCAUUGCUCAAUACUUUUGUGGGUGGCAAUUUCAACCGGCACAGCACUGCGCUUUGCCACAGUCACAUUUGUCUUCAAAGCGGUGUUUACCAUUUGUGUUGAUCUGUUUGUGUAUGCAUAGAGCAAGUUUUUAAUUUAUAUUUUUCUGCAUUCUUGUGCUUGCACUAAGCUUGUAUAAGGCAGUUACAAAAUGUGCGUCACUAUAACGAACUGUUCUGUUGAGCUUACACUUGCAAAUAAUCGUGUUCAGAUGGCCGCACUUCUAUGCGGGUGCACUGCUAGCUUUGUGUAUGUUCUCAUGUUUGUAUAAAGCUUAUAUAAGCUAGUUAGAAAAUGUAUGUCACUAAGCAUUGUGAUAUUCUUUAAAGAACUGCUUGGUUGGUUUUACACUUGUGAAUUAGUAUUGAGGUGGUGGUAUUCCCAUGUAUGCCCACUGCUAGCUUUCUGUGUCCUCACGUGUUUGUAUUAAGUUUCUACAAGGGAGUUACAGCAUGUACGUCACUAAGCACUGUGAUAUUUUUUAAAGAACUGCUUUGUUGGUUUUACACCUGUGAGUAAUAGUACUCGGGUGGCACUAGUCAUGUGUAGGUACACAGGGAGCAUUUGUAUACAUUAUGCUCAUGUAAAGCAGUUACAAAGUGUAUGUCACUAAUUACUGUGAUAUUUGUUGAAUUGCUGUGAUGGUUUUACACAUGUGAAUAAUAGUGGUCAGGACACAGUACUUGCGGUGUAUAGUUGAAUUUAUACACUGCCAAGACAUGGGCUGUAUACGUACCAAAAGAAAUGUAUGUCAUUAUAUUGUUGUGAUUAUUACUGUUUGGAUUUUAUUAAACUGUAAUAAAAUUGUUUCUUGUAUCUAUUGA